RNAcentral lists this long non-coding RNA (286 nucleotides) under Capsella grandiflora. Its description in RNAcentral is "long non-coding RNA (CGRA_LNC001381)". The record is from RNAcentral. Lineage: Eukaryota; Viridiplantae; Streptophyta; Magnoliopsida; Brassicales; Brassicaceae.
UAACACACUAUUUUUUACAUAUGCAAGGUACACCAUAGUCUCUCAUCACUAUGAAUAGAUCAAAAGUUAGUUAACUGAUCCAUAAAAUUUGAUAUCAACAUAUAUAUAUAUAGGUAGUAGUACAAAAAUAUCACCUCUUAUCUCUCAAUUUAAAUCUAAGCUUAUAAGUUGGUAUGUUGUUAACUUCAAGCAUUUUCAUCUCCCCAAUGUCAAUAGUUUGACCAACCACAUCUAUAAACAAUUAACAAAGUAAAGAACGUGGAUAGAAACAUAUAUAAUAAGUAAA